CGGGACAGGGGGGAGGGGUCGCUCCCCCGGGGUCCGGUCACCUCUCGGGGGUCAUCCCGCCACCCGGCCCCCCGCACCUCUACCCUCUCUCUGUCCAUGGGGCCCCCAAGCAAACUUUCCCUGGAAGAGUUGGAAGGGCACUUUCAAACUUUGUCCCUUCCCCCUCCUCUGUCGUCUCUCCCCCAGCGCGCCCCCUGACCUCUGCAUCCAGAGUCUCUCCUGAGGUCAAUCCCCCAAUGCUGCCUGGGUCCCCUGAGGGAACGAGGAGGGGUCUCUUGAGUCGCCUCCUCUCCUCAAAGACCCCCGCGUCUCCCAUGUAUCCUAACCGGGAAUUCAUUUCUAUACCUCCCUCAGCCUAGGAGUGUUGGGGUGUCAGAGGCAGAGCUCGCUGCCCCCACCCCUGAGGCCCAUCCUGGGGGUCCAGUCCGCCUCCCAAAGCCCCUUGAAAGCAGUUGGGGGUGGGGGGAGGCAGAGCGGGCAGUGGUCCACAAUGGAGGAGCUGCCCUAGAUGCUAAAACAAGAGACUGUCCUGGGGGCCCCUGGGAUGAGGAGAGGCCCUGAGUGCUUUGGGAACUUGGGAAAACCGGGCUCUAGGGGAGCGGUCGGGGAGGGGGUAGUGUUCCUCGGGUCCUGACUAAUCCUCGAAAGUGUGCAGUUGUUCAGGGAGCCGUGGCCGGGACCACCGCCAUUUUGCUGGGAGGAUGCGAUGUCUUUGUUAAAACGUACACAUCUUCUCCUGUGCUGCCUGGCAGACAGGAGCUCUAGAGAGGCUAAGAGCCUUGUCCAAGAUGGGUCAACCUGAAGGAGGGUGACAGGCCGACAGACUCCCAAGCCAGUGACUUUCCCACUGCACCUCCUGUGGUCUCCAGAGACCUUGCAAGACACGCACUCAUUCUGGACUUCGGAAUGCUAAGAUGUUCGCUUGAUGUGUGUGUUGCACUGAGGUUAACGUAAGAAACAUCACCAGUGCCACGGGAGCCCCCUUUGUGCCCUGAUCACAUCUCCGUGACCUCUGACCUGAAAUUUUUCUUGCUUUCCAGGCAAUGUUGCUGUGACUUUUCUACUGCAAGUGCGCUGGCGCAAACAGGAAGGAGUUGCGUUAUGCACAGCUUCAGCUUUACCAGGUCGUGCCGGCUGCUCUCUACAAGCUGCCAUCUUGGUGAUGAUUAGGGAAAGGCACAAUGAAGGUGGCGAGACCACUGGAGGCCCUCCCCGCUCUGCAGGAAAACAAUCGCAAACCCACGUGGAUCGAGAGUCAAAGGAUGGACAGAGAGACAAACUCACACUGCAGGACAGAGGCCUGAGCAUGCAGGAAUCCAGAGCCGUGAAUUGUUCAGACUCAACCUGGACCCAAUCGUGCAAAAAGAACUGGAUAAACCCACACUGAGGGACGUUCUGCAAGAUGACAGGCCUGGGCCCUCCAAAAUCGUUGAAGUCACUGAAGACUACGGAAGGCAGGAGAUGUUCCAGACUGAAGGAGACGGAAGAGCCCUGCGACUGGACCCUGGAUUUAAAAAAGAUUCUAAAAGACGUUAUAGAAACAAUUGAGGAAAUUUGAAUGUGAAUUGUAUAUUAGAUGAUAUUGGGCCUGUGUUCCAGUCUUUUUUUUUAAAGAUUUUUUUUUUUUCCUUUUCCUCUCCAAUCCCCCCAGUACAUAGUUGUAUAUUUUAGUUGUGGGUCCUUCUGGUUGUGGCAUGUAGGAUGCUGCCUCAGUGUGACCUGAUGAGCAGUGCCAUGUCCACACCCAGGAUCCGAACCAGUGAAACCCUGGGCCGCCAAAGCAGAGCUCGCGAACUUAACCACCCGGCCACAGGGUCUGCCCCUGUGUUCCAGCCUUGAAUGUGCUCACUGGAUUGUGGUUGUGGAGGCUGGGUGUCCUUUUGCUUGAGAGACAUGUGCUGAAGGAUUGAGAGUGUCGUGAUGUCGGCAACUCAGAUCAGUCUGCAAAAUACAUGUGUUUAGACGUGAUGCAGCUGUAUGGAUCGACGAUCUGUGUAUGCGUAGACACAGGUGUCAAGAGAGAGCACAAGAGAGAAAUAAAAAGCGCAAAAUGGCAACAAUCUUGAACCUGGGCAAGGGAUGUGUGGGAAUUUAUUGUACUAUUCUUGCAACUCGUCUGUAGGUUUGAAAACCUAUCGACUAAGUUGGAGGGAAAGUGUUCG
Long non-coding RNA from Equus asinus (donkey), 2162 nucleotides. The record is from Ensembl. Lineage: Eukaryota; Metazoa; Chordata; Mammalia; Perissodactyla; Equidae.